UGCCCCCGUGCACAAAGCGAGGGCCAUACAGAAAUGGUUUGUCGAGAUCGGUUCCGGAAGAACUUGACUGGCCUGCACAGAGCCCUUUCCUCAACCCCAUCGAACACCUUUGGGAUGAAUUGGAACGCCGACUGCGAGCCAGGCCUAAUCGCCCAACAGUGCCUGACUUCACUAAUGCUCUUAUGGCUGAAUGGAAGCAAGUCCCCGCAGCAAUGUUCCAACAUCUAGUGGAAAGCCUCCCCAAAAGAGCGGCGUCUGUUAGAGCAGCAAAGGGGGGACCAGCUCCAUAUUAAUGCACAUGAUUUUGGAAUGAGAUGUUUGACGAGCAGGUGUCCACAUACUUUUCGUCAUGUAGUGUAGUUUGUCAUAAGAAGGUGACAGUAGUUGUAUUCCUUGACUGUCUGUGGUGUAACUCCUUCCAAACCCACCUACCAAGAGGUGCUGACUGAGGUGGAGGAGAGGAGCCACAAAAGGCAACAGGAAUACAACACGUUCUGCCAGCAGACGAAACAGGAGAUAGCUGACAUCCACAGAGAUCGACUGAUCCAUAACAUGAAACUCAACAGGAUGAAGAAAGAGAUUUUCAGUGACCGCAUGGAGGUGAAGAUCGCCAGCGAGGGAAUCAUGAAUAAAUGGAACCACCCCCCAUACCGCCAGCGUCUGCAGAAGGGAGAGGGGAAAGAGAGGAAAGAGGAGUCAGAGGAGGUGAAGAAUACAAACCAACCUUCUGUUCCAGAGAACCGAAAGACAGCUGGACAAUGACACUGCAACUUUCAGAACAGCGUCUCUCUCUCUUUCUCUUUAUGCCACUCAGAUCUACAGAACAUGAUGUCAGUGUUUUGUUCUACAUUAAUAUAUAUUUUACAUUUGUUUUCAUUGAAAUUCACCCAGAUGAUUUAAAUGCCAGUCUUCACACUUCA
Molecule: long non-coding RNA, 920 nt
Organism: Oncorhynchus masou masou (cherry salmon)
Lineage: Eukaryota; Metazoa; Chordata; Actinopteri; Salmoniformes; Salmonidae
Exons: 4
Source: RefSeq, a predicted model, not a curated record